RNAcentral lists this long non-coding RNA (405 nucleotides) under Equus asinus (donkey). RNAcentral's name for it is "lncRNA (ENSEASG00005023920.1)". Lineage: Eukaryota; Metazoa; Chordata; Mammalia; Perissodactyla; Equidae. The record is from RNAcentral.
CAGUCACAACCACCUUUUGUCCCAGUUCCUCAGACCUAAUGAUUACAUUACCUAGGAGAGAUUGGCCAACUUGGGUAACCAUGACCACAUUUGUGGUGAGAAUCCUGUGACUGGCAGAAUCCUGUGACUACUAGAAGAGGGAGAAGUGACACUAGACAGACAACCAAGCUAGCUAUCCUCUAAACUCACCACAUCAGCUCAUCCUCCUACCACAGAAGAGUCUAUUCUCAAUGUAUUAAUACAUUCAUCCUAGCAGCCAGUGGGAGUAUAUGAAAAUGAAUUAGAAUCAGCAAAGAAGCAGCAGAAGAAACAGCAGAUACAGGAGGAGGAGGAGGAGGAAGAGAAGGACAUUCUAAUAAAAUCUUUUGGGUGUGUAUAACUUUCUGGGAGGGAGAGACACCAAGA